AAUUAUUAAAAUUGUUUUGUUUAUUAUUUUUUAUUAAUGAAUAAGUGAAGUAGAUUUUUUGUUAUUGUAUAAUAAAUAGAUUGAAUUAUAUUUACUAUAGUUAAUUAAGUACUGUAAAGGAAAUUAAAAUUUAUAAUUAUAAUUUAAUAAAGGUGAUUUAAUUAAUUGUAUCUUGUGUAUCAGAGUGAAUUAAAAUAUAUUAUGGAUGUUUUUAUUCUCGAAUUUAAAAGAUUUAGUUAAGUAAAUUGGUUAUUGUUUUAUAUAUAUUAAUAAUACUUAAUUGGUAAUGAAAUGUUAAUCGUUUUUAAUUAUAUCUGGUUUUUUAAUAAAUGAAUUUAAUUCAGGAAAUGUUAAUUAUUUAAUAUGUUAUUAUUUGAAUAUUUUAUGUUUUUUAUUUUUUAAGGGAUUAACUUUGAAAAAUAUAUUUAUAAUAGGAUUAGUUAUUGAGGAUUUUAUAAAUUUAGAAUUUGUUAUUGGUUUAAGGAUGUUAAAAUUUUAUUCUUAAUUUAUUUAAUUUUUAAUUUUUAUUUAAUUGUUAUAUUAAAAUAUUAUAUUUAAUUUAUGAAUUUUUGAAAAUAUGAUUUAAUUAGUAAAUAGAAAUUUAUAGUGUUAAUUUAUUUUGAGGAUUUAAUAUAAAGAAUUCGGCAUAUAUUAUUACUCACCUGUUUAUUAAAAACAUGGUUUCUUGUAUUAAUUAAGAGAUUUAACCUGCCCACUGAAGAAUAUAUUGAAGGGCCGCAGUAUUUUGACUGUGCAAAGGUAGCAUAAUCAUUAGUCUUUUAAUUGAGGGCUGGUAUGAAUGGUUGGAUGAGGUAAAUUCUGUUUUAUAUUAAUUGUAAUUGAAUUUAGAUUUUAAGUAAAAAUACUUAAAUGUGAUUAAGGGACGAGAAGACCCUAUAGAGUUUAAUAAAUUUAGUGAUAUAAUUGAGUUAGAAAUGAUUUUUUGGUUAUUAUGAGAUUUAUUUAGUUGGGGUGAUUAGAAAAUAAAUUAAACUUUUCUUUAAAUUUAAUAUUAUAUUUAACUAUAUGAUCCAUUAUUAGUGAUUAAAAGAUUUAAUUACCUUAGGGAUAACAGCAUAAUUUUUUUUGAGAGUUCAUAUUGAGAAGAAAGAUUAUGACCUCGAUGUUGGAUUAAGAUUAGUUUUGGGUGUAGAUGUUCAAUAACUGGGUCUGUUCGACCUUUAUAAUCUUACAUGAUCUGAGUUUAAACCGGCGUGAGCCAGGUUGGUUUCUAUCUUUUAUUUAUAUAUAUAUUUUAGUACGAGAGGACCAAAUAUGGAAAAUAAUUUUUAUUUUGGGAUACUAUUAAUUUAU
This 1314-nucleotide ribosomal RNA is filed under the name Phyllothelys breve. Its description in RNAcentral is "16S ribosomal RNA". The stretch from base 1068 to 1226 matches the Rfam family "Archaeal large subunit ribosomal RNA", at positions 2542 to 2701 of the family's 2987-position model. Lineage: Eukaryota; Metazoa; Arthropoda; Insecta; Mantodea; Hymenopodidae. The record is from RNAcentral.